RNAcentral lists this transfer RNA (73 nucleotides) under Camelus bactrianus (Bactrian camel). It matches the Rfam family "tRNA". Rfam says of the family: Transfer RNA (tRNA) molecules are approximately 80 nucleotides in length. Their secondary structure includes four short double-helical elements and three loops (D, anti-codon, and T loops). Lineage: Eukaryota; Metazoa; Chordata; Mammalia; Artiodactyla; Camelidae. RNAcentral also lists the same sequence under 2 other names. The record is from Rfam by way of RNAcentral.
GAGGGUAUAGCUCAGUUGGUGGAGUGCACGCUUAUCAUGCAGGAGGUCCUGGGUUCAAUCCCCAGUUCCUCCA